ACUCUUGCUACCUUGUGAAGUCAUUUGCUUCUAGUUGUUGGAUUCUAAUUUUUGAAGACUGAAUUUCAUCCCUGGCUUUUUGGUCAUCCUCCUUCUGGUCUGAUUUUUAUUUAUUUUAUGGGGCUACUGGGAAGAAUGAGCUCUUUAGACCUUAAAGAAACCUACAAAUGUACAUUAGUUCCUUACAGAUGUAAGAAACAGAUGGUGGACUCAAGUGGCAUCCCAAGAACCAUACCUUCUCUUCUUCUGAUUGGUAGAUUAUCCAGAUUUUCCCCUUGCCCAUAGGUUUUACAGUUCCUUUGCCUGAAUGACAUUUGGCUGGACGUUUGCACACCUGCAGGGUCUUAUGCUAUAUAAGAAAGGAAGUUACUAUUCCAAGAGAAGGAAAAUGAAAUUCUCAAAAUUCAAUAACAGAAAAAGCCCCACAAUAAAAUGAAUAAAGAACAUCUUCA
Molecule: long non-coding RNA, 452 nt
Filed under: Monodelphis domestica (gray short-tailed opossum)
Lineage: Eukaryota; Metazoa; Chordata; Mammalia; Didelphimorphia; Didelphidae
Description: lncRNA (ENSMODG00000050147.1)
Source: RNAcentral